AAACAAGUAAAUAAUCUUACCGAGCAAAACCAAGGUCGUUAGAUUAUAUGGAUUUGGAACUUGCUGUCUGAAGUAGCUGGAGUUGUCAUCGGUCGUGCUGAUUUGAUACGAAUGAUGGGUUUAUUGAUUACAUACAUUUAAUUUGAAACGGUUAAACUAUGUUUUCUUUUAUUCGCUUCCGCUGAACAUGUUGGUUUUCAUUUAAACCUAUUGACGGUACUUUUCAGUAAUAAUUGAUGUUUUUAUUUAACAACUUGUGAUUGGUUCAA
This is a long non-coding RNA of Helianthus annuus (common sunflower), 269 nucleotides long. RefSeq lists it as uncharacterized. The transcript has 2 exons. The record is from RefSeq and is a predicted model, not a curated record. Lineage: Eukaryota; Viridiplantae; Streptophyta; Magnoliopsida; Asterales; Asteraceae.